UUUAGGAACAUAUGAAACACUUUAGUGUUUUGAUGACAUUAGUCCUUGGACAUGUUUUGGCAUUAUCAGAAGAUGCCUUUAAACAGCACGUAUUCCAUACAAACUAUAUCCUCAAACGAUUAA
Adelges cooleyi (spruce gall adelgid) is the source of this 123-nucleotide long non-coding RNA. RefSeq lists it as uncharacterized. The transcript has 3 exons. The record is from RefSeq and is a predicted model, not a curated record. Lineage: Eukaryota; Metazoa; Arthropoda; Insecta; Hemiptera; Adelgidae.